Molecule: ribosomal RNA, 253 nt
Filed under: uncultured bacterium
Lineage: Bacteria
Description: partial 16S ribosomal RNA
Rfam family: Bacterial small subunit ribosomal RNA
Source: RNAcentral
UACGUAGGUGGCAAGCGUUAUCCGGAUUUACUGGGUGUAAAGGGCGUGUAGGCGGGAAAGCAAGUCAGAUGUGAAAACCACGGGCUCAACCUGUGGCCUGCAUUUGAAACUGUUUUUCUUGAGUACUGGAGAGGCAGACGGAAUUCCUCGUGUAGCGGUGAAAUGCGUAGAUAUGAGGAGGAACACCAGUGGCGAAGGCGGUCUGCCGGACAGCAACUGACGCUGAGGCGCGAAAGCGUGGGGAGCAAACAGG